AUUUUUCAUGAGCAUUGCAGAAAAUAUAUUUGGAUCCAUUGGUUCGAUAUCACUGUCUGGCCCAUUAUCAUUUGUUUCUUUUCCUAAAGAUGGUAAUCAAUCUCAGACUCUUGAAGAGAAAGGAAUACAGGAAAACUGUGAUCUCUGCACAGAGAUGCAACCUCUGAUACCAAGUGAGAUGCAGACAUUUGAAAGUACAAGUUUAAAGCUGGAAGUCAACCAUAUUCAAGAGAAUAAAGAACAAUGUUUACCCACCAACAAGAGUGUAGAAAAGUUCAUGCAAUUUGAAAUGGUUGGUGAUUGCUCUGACCACCACUUUAUUGAAGAUGCAGGCAGGGGAUUGGCAUUCUCUCAGGUGAAAAGAAGUUGGUUGAAGAAGGUCCAAGAAGAAUGGAGUAACCUAGAGAAAAAUCUUCCUGAAUCAAUAUAUGUCCGUAUCUAUGAGGACAGAAUGAAUCUCCUUCGAGCAGCCAUUGUUGGUGCACCUGGAACUCCAUAUCAUGAUGGGCUAUUUUUCUUUGAUAUAUAUCUUCCUCCGGAGUAUCCUCAUGAACCCCCUUUGGUGCACUACCGUUCCGGUGGGCUUCGUGUCAAUCCAAAUUUAUAUGAGUCUGGAAAGGUCUGCCUGAGUCUCCUCAAUACAUGGACAGGCACAGGCACUGAAGUGUGGAAUCCAGAGAGCUCCAGUGUUCUGCAAGUUCUUCUCUCCCUCCAGGCCCUUGUGCUUAAUGAAAAGCCUUAUUUCAAUGAGGCUGGAUUUGAUAAGCAGAUAGGAAGAGCUGAGGGAGAGAAAAACUCUGUUAGCUAUAAUGAAAAUGCAUUCCUCAUGACCUGGAAGUCCAUGCUUUACUUACUUCGCCAGCCACCAAAGCAUUUUGAGGCACUCAUAGAGGAGCACUUGAGGCAACGAUCGCAAUAUAUUCUAUUGGCUUGUAAAGCAUAUAUGGAAGGAGCUCCAGUAGCAUACACAUUUGGACGUGGACAGAUUGAGCAUGAAAGUCAAAAGGGCGGUUCUACAGGUUUCAAAAUCAUGCUUGCUAAACUCUUCCCAAAACUUGUGGAGGCAUUUGCUGCUAAAGGAAUUGAUUGCAGCCAAUUCACAGAGCUAGAGCAGUGAAUGUGCUUACCAGUGCAUUUGUGCUAAUAAAUCUGUAUCAUAUCAACACGUUCUUGGAGAACAAUAGUCUUGCCUUUUUAAAAAAAUAAAAAAAUAAAAACAAAAGUGAAGAAAAAGAAAACAAAAGAUAUUGUUCUGUAUAAUAUCAGUGCUGUUUGUGUGAAAGACAAAAAAAUUAAAAAAAAAAAAAAAGAAAAAGAGAGCAAUUGAAAGGGAAAAUAAGGAUUUCUGGUGUUGUGAUUGUAGUAUUAUGUUCUGUGACAGAACUAUAUUAUGGAUUGCAGCUGCAAUUCUACAAAUAAUGAAGAAAAAGGG
Molecule: unclassified non-coding RNA, 1432 nt
Filed under: Hevea brasiliensis (rubber tree)
Lineage: Eukaryota; Viridiplantae; Streptophyta; Magnoliopsida; Malpighiales; Euphorbiaceae
Source: RNAcentral